AUUGAACGCUGGCGGCGUGCUUAACACAUGCAAGUCGAACGCGAAAGGGACUUCGGUCCUGAGUAAAGUGGCGCACGGUGAGUAACGCGUGGAUAAUCUGCCCUUAUGAUUGGAAUAACAGUUGGAAACGGCUGCUAAUACCGGAUACGCUCAAAAUGAACUUUUUGAGGAAAGAUGGCCUCUGCUUGCAUGCUAUCGCAUAAGGAUGAGUCCGCGUCCCAUUAGCUUGUUGGCGGGGUAACGGCCCACCAAGGCAACGAUGGGUAGCCGAUUUGAGAGGAUGAUCGGCCACACUGGAACUGAAACACGGUCCAGACUCCUACGGGAGGCAGCAGUGGGGAAUAUUGCGCAAUGGGCGAAAGCCUGACGCAGCGACGCCGCGUGAGGGAUGAAGGUUUCGGAUCGUAAACCUCUGUCAGAAGGGAGAAACUACGUUGUGCUAAUCAGCAGCGUA
RNAcentral lists this ribosomal RNA (454 nucleotides) under uncultured bacterium. RNAcentral describes it as "bacterial SSU rRNA". It matches the Rfam family "Bacterial small subunit ribosomal RNA", at positions 30 to 469 of the family's 1533-position model. The record is from RNAcentral.